Molecule: ribosomal RNA, 426 nt
Filed under: uncultured bacterium
Lineage: Bacteria
Description: bacterial SSU rRNA
Rfam family: Bacterial small subunit ribosomal RNA
Source: RNAcentral
AGGGAAUCUUCCGCAAUGGACGAAAGUCUGACGGAGCAACGCCGCGUGAGUGAAGAAGGCCUUCGGGUCGUAAAACUCUGUUGCCGGGGAAGAACAAGUGCCGUUCGAACAGGGCGGUGCCUUGACGGUACCCGGCCAGAAAGCCACGGCUAACUACGUGCCAGCAGCCGCGGUAAUACGUAGGUGGCAAGCGUUGUCCGGAAUUAUUGGGCGUAAAGCGCGAGCAGGCGGUUUCUGAAGUCUGAUGUGAAAUCUUGCGGCUCAACCGCAAGCGGUCAUUGGAAACUGGGAGGCUUGAGUGCAGAAGAGGAGAGUGGAAUUCCACGUGUAGCGGUGAAAUGCGUAGAGAUGUGGAGGAACACCAGUGGCGAAGGCGACUCUCUGGGCUGUAACUGACGCUGAGGCGCGAAAGCGUGGGGAGCAAAC